Molecule: ribosomal RNA, 334 nt
Filed under: uncultured Catonella sp.
Lineage: Bacteria; Bacillati; Bacillota; Clostridia; Lachnospirales; Lachnospiraceae
Description: bacterial SSU rRNA
Rfam family: Bacterial small subunit ribosomal RNA
Source: RNAcentral
GAUGAACGCUGGCGGCGUGCCUAACACAUGCAAGUCGAACGAAGCUCCCGAGGCGGAGGGCUCCGGCCGAAGCGGAGGGAUGACUGAGUGGCGGACGGGUGAGUAACGCGUGGGCAACCUGCCCCCUGCAGGGGGAUAGCGGCUGGAAACGGCCGGUAAGACCGCGUAAGCCUUCCUUGGCGCAUGCCGGGGGGAGGGAGAUGCGCAAGCAGGCAGGGGAUGGGCCCGCGUCCGAUUAGCCAGCUGGCGGGGUAACGGCCCACCAGGGCGACGAUCGGUAGCCGGACUGAGAGGUCGGACGGCCACAUUGGGACUGAGACACGGCCCAAACUCC